AUUGAACGCUGGCGGCAGGCCUAACACAUGCAAGUCGAACGAGUGGCGGACGGGUGAGUAAUGUCUGGGAAACUGCCCGAUGGAGGGGGAUAACUACUGGAAACGGUAGCUAAUACCGCAUACCAUCGGAUGAGCCCAGAUGGGAUUAGCUAGUAGGUGGGGUAAAGGCUCACCUAGGCGACGAUCCCUAGCUGUUCUGAGAGGAUGACCAGCCAAACUGGAAAUCAGUCACGGUCCAGACACCUACGUGAGGCGUCAGUGGGGAAUAUUGCACAAUUGGUGCAGUCCUGAUGCAGCCAUGCCGCGUGUAUGAAGAAGGCCUUCGGGUUGUAAAGUACUUGCAGCGGGGAGGCUUUACCCGCAGAAGAAGCACCGGCUAACUCCGUGCCAGCAGCCGCGGUAAUAC
This 406-nucleotide ribosomal RNA is filed under the name uncultured bacterium. Its description in RNAcentral is "partial 16S ribosomal RNA". It matches the Rfam family "Bacterial small subunit ribosomal RNA", at positions 30 to 526 of the family's 1533-position model. The record is from RNAcentral.